Molecule: non-coding RNA, 115 nt
Organism: Triticum aestivum (bread wheat)
Lineage: Eukaryota; Viridiplantae; Streptophyta; Magnoliopsida; Poales; Poaceae
Source: Rfam
GUCAUACUCCCUCCGUUCGGAAUUACUUGUCUCGAAAAUAGAUGUAUCUAGAACUAAAAUACAUCUAGAUACAUCUAUUUCUACAACAAGUAAUUCUGAACGGAGGGAGUAUUAG